UACGAAGGGGGCUAGCGUUGUUCGGAAUCACUGGGCGUAAAGCGCACGUAGGCGGAUUGUUAAGUCGGGGGUGAAAUCCUGAGGCUCAACCUCAGAACUGCCUUCGAUACUGGCAAUCUCGAGUCCGGAAGAGGUUGGUGGAACAGCUAGAGUAGAGGUGAAAUUCGUAGAUAUUAGCUAGAACACCAGUGGCGAAGGCGGCCAACUGGUCCGGUACUGACGCUGAGGUGCGAAAGCGUGGGGAGCAAACAGG
RNAcentral lists this ribosomal RNA (253 nucleotides) under uncultured bacterium. RNAcentral describes it as "partial 16S ribosomal RNA". It matches the Rfam family "Bacterial small subunit ribosomal RNA", at positions 524 to 776 of the family's 1533-position model. The record is from RNAcentral.